RNAcentral lists this transfer RNA (46 nucleotides) under Equus sp. Its description in RNAcentral is "partial tRNA-Asp". The record is from RNAcentral. Lineage: Eukaryota; Metazoa; Chordata; Mammalia; Perissodactyla; Equidae.
GAGGUAUUAGUAAAAAUUACAUAACUUUGUCAAAGUUAAAUUAUAG